ACAAAAAUUUCUUUGACAGAAGAAGAGUUUAACUCUCCAUGGUUUUCUUUGUUCGCAACAUAUUAUACUAUCAAUUAUAACUUUUCAUUCCAAGUAGAGAAAUUUAAAUUAACAAAUAUAACGAUAACUUCACGAUAAAAUACUUCAAAUAUAUGUAGAUAUAAAAGUACGUAAUUGUAUGACGUUGUCGAGGGUAAAAUGGGAUGUGAUUGUGUUUUGAGAGAUUUUUACAGCUGUGGUUAAAUAGAAAGUUAAUUAAAGCUGCUUUCAUGAAAAAAACUGGAAGUCGAGAUACUCUAAAAGGAAAAAUAAAUGGUUUGUGUAACGUUGCAUCAAAUUAAUUCUACAGGGAAUUGCAAUUAUGAUCGAAUUUAAUUCGAGUUUGACAAGAAUAUACCUACAUCAUUUUUCUAUUCUUUUAUUUUUUGAAUAUCAAAUUUUGCUAAAUUCAGACAAUUCCGAGAAAUGAUAAAAGUUAUAUUGUAACUCAUAUUGAAAAUAUGAAUCAUAUCUAAAAGCAAUAUCCUUCCGUUUCAUAAAUUAUGUUAUCGAUUGACAUCUAUAACUCAGUAAGUUCUAAGUAUUGUAAUCUGUUUUCUUCGAAAAUUGUUCAUUUUUUCAUAUAAAAGAUAAUUUUCUAAUUGUUUAUUUCUCUCGUAUACGCACAGAUAUAACCUUUUUAUUAUUAUCGAAAUUGUUUAAGUGGUUCAAUAAGUUAGAAAAAAAGAGUUACACUACAGUUUCUACUACAGUAGCUUUACAAUUAAUUAUUUCUGAAAGGUGGUUGUUCUAUUUCUACACAGGAAAAGUAGAUAUUAGUGAGCGAUAUAAAAAUCAUUAACACUAUCUUUCGACCAUAUGUGGGUCACGCCAGUCUUCAGAAAUUUAUGAUUCUCACGUGGUUCAUAGAGCUUUGUGACUCUUUACAGUUCAGAGUCAACAAUUCAAAAUAUCUUUAACACGUAACAUUUUCACACCCAAAAAAUACGCAACCGGAUAAAAUAAUUAUAACUUGAAUAUAAGAAACAGAGUCUUUGUUAAUUCUAGUGAAAAAUCUUAAACUACGUAUCUAUGUAGAUGCUUCCAACCAGUUUCUAUUAAACUAAUUUAUCAAUCUUAUCAAUCCUGAAGAAAGUUUUCGUACACACCCCCUACAUUUUCUAAAACGACGCUUCUUCAAUAUUAAUUUUUGUUUUUGAAAGGGAAAUACUUUGGUAAGUCAUUUUAUUAUUAAAAUUCUAAAAACGCUAAAACGUGACUUUUUCUGAUUGCCAGCAUACAAUUCGCUAGCAUCCAUCGUCGAUCCACCGUUCGUCUUCGAUCACCAGAAACGAUGCAAUAUCCCUCUGCAGCCAUUCGUGACGCGUCGUUUUAAUUACCAGGUCGCGUUCGAUCAUUCUUCGCGAACAUAAACCAUCCUACACCGCGAUCAUGCCAAUAUGCUAGCCACAUGCUUGAAACUAACCACCUACAUGUAUAUUAAACUGGGUGCUUCGAAACUUUGUAACGAGCCUUACAAGCAAUAGCCUAUGAUUUAUCGCGCGAUCGACCUCACAGGAGAUUGACAAGAAAUCGCGAUCUGAAAUUCCAAGUUGCAAGUUCUUGCGCAUCUAACAUGAGCUUAAAGAUCCACAAGAUCAUUCUGCCAUGACAAAAUGAUGAUUUAUAACCGUGGUGACCGAGCAUGCGUGCAAACCAAGUCUGGUAUCGUCGUCGUUUCCUCGAAUUCGCGAUAGAUACCGGCGAGUAAUCGAGAUUUGUUAACGCACUGGUCAGCACCACGUGUGCUGAUAGAAUUCUGAUCGGCAGCGGGACGACGAUAGAGAAAUCGUUUCUGCAUUGGUUCGUCAUUGGUUCCAAGUUCUAUAGAUAAAAUGGCAAGGAAAUACGAGAAAGCGGAAGAAAAUUGCGCGAGAAUGUGCUAAGUGAAAGAAUUUAUUAUAAUACAGUAAAUAACUGAACAAAUAAUAGUUAACAAAUUAGUUAGUGUAAUUAGAAAUAUAGGUAUAGAGUUACCGCAAAGAGAUCAGAAGAGGAAGUCGGAUAUAAAGGUUACAUAUAUGCAAUAUGGAGAACAGCGGCGCAAUAUGGAGAAGGAAGUUGCUAUCAGAGCUCGCGAUAGUCAUCCAACGAUAAAGAGCAAGCCGACUCGAAUUUAUUGAAGCGAACCGUGCACCGAUAAACCUGUUUAUCUGGAGAGAAGAGAAAAAGCUGGGAUACUAAUCACCACUGGAAACUGAAGCUCCGAUUUGAUCACUCGGUUGAGUAAUAUCGCGCGAUUUUCAGCUUUUGAAAUUCACCUUUCAUUUUGAGGGAUGUUUGUAAAUGGUGGCAUUAUUUAGAGGGUGGUUGGAUGAUUAAUGAUAAUGGUACGGUCAUCAAUAUGGGAUAGUUUUUUUUUUGUAAAGGUGUACGAGCACGUAUGUAUGUAAUAAAAAGAAGAAAUGUUGCAAAAAAUAGAUAUAGGAUAUAGAGUAACGGACAAGAAAAAAUUUAUAAACUAAAAAGUAUAGGAAGACGCUAUAAUUUUACAAGAUGAAUUUAUACCUAACAAAAGCAACGAAUAAAUAAGUAUAGUACUUCUGGGAAAAA
Bombus terrestris (buff-tailed bumblebee) is the source of this 2592-nucleotide long non-coding RNA. RefSeq lists it as uncharacterized. The record is from RefSeq and is a predicted model, not a curated record. The transcript is spliced from 2 exons. NCBI's taxonomy places the organism in Eukaryota, Metazoa, Arthropoda, Insecta, Hymenoptera, Apidae.